RNAcentral lists this transfer RNA (71 nucleotides) under Nephromyces sp. ex Molgula occidentalis. Its description in RNAcentral is "tRNA-Gln". It matches the Rfam family "tRNA". From Rfam's summary of the family: Transfer RNA (tRNA) molecules are approximately 80 nucleotides in length. The record is from RNAcentral. Lineage: Eukaryota; Apicomplexa; Aconoidasida; Nephromycida.
UGGGAUGUAGCCAAGUGGUAAGGCAACAGAUUUUGAUUCUGUGAUCAUAGGUUCGACUCCUAUUAUCCCAA